GUAAUCUGAGGACGAAAUCUCAGAUCUUUUUGAGUUUUUUUAUAUUACAACAACUACAUAUAAUAUGUAAAUGUUGAAUUUAUUGUAAUUUAAGUCUUUUAAUACACAACAGAAUUUAAAAGAAAUCUGAAUAUUGUAAUGAACCAUUUUUCUAUUAAUAUCUAUUAUGGAAACAGUCCAAAGGUUAGAAAAAGGGAAAAGGGCAGUCUAAAAAAAUAGGAUUUGGCAAUGAUAUUUUUAUUCCUGAUGUAAAAUCAGAUACAAGUACUAAGAUAUGAGAAUCUCACCUUACUACUGGGGUUAAUUUUGAGACAAUAGCUGAUUAUCAUUUUGUUUAUCAAUAUAAAUCAUGAGUGUGUACUUUUUACUAGUAUCCAUUACAACUAGGGUCAUUCAAGAAUUUAUUUGCCUGUGAACAGGUAGUUUUUACAUCCUUGUUCUUUAAUCUUUGGUGGAUUGUUGUCUCAUUGGCAAUCAUACCACAUGAUCUAUUUAAACAAAGUUUAUUGGUUAGAAUUUGAAAGGAAUCUGUGAAAAAGAAAUGAUGUUCAGAAUUGGUUUAUUGUAAGUUAGUUUUGUAAGAGAUGAAAGAGAAGAAUGAUGUUUUGACUAGAAGCAUACCAUGUUAAAUUGUUCAACAUUUUUUUUUAAAUAUCUCAUAUUUUUUCAUAUUUUAAACACCAAAUUUUUAAAGAGAGUAAUUAGGAUUUACUUUCCUUUGCCUUAAAGGAUAGAUAAUUAGUUAUUGUAUUUUGUAGAAUUUUUUGCCUGUAGUGCUUAUAUGAUAUUGUUAACUGAAAUGAUAACUACUGGUAGUUUUACUGUUGAAGUUACGAAAAUCGUUUAGUCAUUUUGCUAAGAAUGUAUUAAAUAGGGGAAUUUUGUUAUUUCUCUUCUUUAUUUAUUUAUAUAUUCUUCCAAUGUUACUAGUUUAAGGGACGACAUCAAAAGAUCAAUGUAGGAUAAAAAACUUAAAUCAA
This 980-nucleotide long non-coding RNA is filed under the name Mytilus galloprovincialis (Mediterranean mussel). The record is from RNAcentral. Lineage: Eukaryota; Metazoa; Mollusca; Bivalvia; Mytilida; Mytilidae.